ACAUGCAGUUUAUGGUCGGGCUUGCUUGGCCAAGCAUUUAUUAGUUUUAACCAAUUACUGCGCAAGCAGUAAGGUGAAUCUAGAUAACUUUGCUGAUCGCAUGGCUUUGCCAGCGACGUUUCAAUUGAGUUUCUGCCCUAUCAAUUUGUUGGUAAGGUAUUGGCUUACCAAGGUUGUAACGGGUAACGGGGAAUCAGGGUUCGAUUCCGGAGAGGGAGCUUGAGAAUCGGCUACCACAUCCAAGGAAGGCAGCAGGCGCGCAAAUUACCAAAUCUAGACAGUAGGAGGUGGUGAAGAGAAGUACUAAGUGGUGGUUAUUUACUACCAGCUUGGAAUGGACGUAAUUUAAGCAAUUCGAUGAGUAACUACUGGAGGGCAAGUCCUGGUGCCAGCAGCCGCGGUAAUUCCAGCUCCAGUGGCGUGAUUUAAAGUUGCUGCGUUUAAAACGCUCGUAGUUGGAUCAAGCGGUGACAGUUUGUAUUCUGCGGUUAGCAUUUGGCUGCUCUAGUCGAUGCUAGCCGUGGAUUAAAACGCAAACUGUCACUAUUUAAUCGCAAAUAUGUUAGUUGGCCUUUAAUGAGUUGACUAUCAUAUUUUGCAGAGUUGUGCCUUGAAUAAAACAGAGUGCUCAAAGCAGGCGAACGCUUGAAUGUUGUAGCAUGGAACGAACAAACGUGUAUUCGCACAUGUCGUGCGGAGCGGAUGUGCUUCUGGCGCGUCUGCUUUGCUGACGUGUGCAUCACCCGCCAAAGUACGAUUGUUGGUUAUCGUAUUAGGUGAUGAU
Molecule: ribosomal RNA, 784 nt
Filed under: Myxobolus aff. pseudodispar sensu lato ML-2019
Lineage: Eukaryota; Metazoa; Cnidaria; Myxozoa; Bivalvulida; Myxobolidae
Description: SSU rRNA
Rfam family: Eukaryotic small subunit ribosomal RNA
Source: RNAcentral